This 65-nucleotide transfer RNA is filed under the name Bostrichoidea sp. 9 KM-2017. RNAcentral's name for it is "tRNA-Phe". The record is from RNAcentral. Lineage: Eukaryota; Metazoa; Arthropoda; Insecta; Coleoptera.
AUUUAAAUAGCUUAAUAAGAGCACAAUAUUGAAGAUAUUGAGGUAGCAUUGAUUGUUUUUAAGUA